RNAcentral lists this small RNA (21 nucleotides) under Arabidopsis thaliana (thale cress). RNAcentral's name for it is "ATSL277950". The record is from RNAcentral. Lineage: Eukaryota; Viridiplantae; Streptophyta; Magnoliopsida; Brassicales; Brassicaceae.
AAAUGCAACUGAAAACAAAAC